This is a small nucleolar RNA of Erinaceus europaeus (western European hedgehog), 132 nucleotides long. The record is from Ensembl. NCBI's taxonomy places the organism in Eukaryota, Metazoa, Chordata, Mammalia, Eulipotyphla, Erinaceidae.
CCGCACAUUUCAUUGUCCUUUUUCGUUACGUUGUCAAGACAAAGGAUAUUUCUGAUGUGCUAAAUAAACCGUUGGAGGUAAAUUAGCAGCAUGAAGAAUUUAGUCAUUGCUGUCAGUCACCUUCAGACAGUC